GGUUAAGCGAACAAGCGUACACGGUGGAUGCCCUGGCAGUCAGAGGCGAUGAAGGACGUGCUAAUCUGCGAAAAGCGCCGGUAAGGUGAUAUGAACCGUUAUAACCGGCGAUGUCCGAAUGGGGAAACCCGGUGCACUUCGGUGCAUCAUCGUUAGCUGAAUACAUAGGCUAACGAGGCGAACCGGGGGAACUGAAACAUCUAAGUACCCCGAGGAAAAGAAAUCAACCGAGAUUCCCCCAGUAGCGGCGAGCGAACGGGGAACAGCCCAGAGCCUGAAUCAGCUUGUGUGUCAGUGGAACGGUCUGGAAAGGCCGGCGAUACAGGGUGACAGCCCCGUACACGAAGGCACACAGGCUGUGAGCUCGAUGAGUAGGGCGGGACACGUGAUAUCCUGUCUGAAGAUGGGGGGACCAUCCUCCAAGGCUAAAUACUCCUGACUGACCGAUAGUGAACCAGUACCGUGAGGGAAAGGCGAAAAGAACCCCGGCGAGGGGAGUGAAACAGAACCUGAAACCGUGUACGUACAAGCAGUGGGAGCCUUCGUAAGAGGGUGACUGCGUACCUUUUGUAUAAUGGGUCAGCGACUUAUAUUCUGUAGCAAGGUUAACCGUAUAGGGGAGCCGAAGGGAAACCGAGUCUUAAUUGGGCGUUAAGUUGCAGGGUAUAGACCCGAAACCCGGUGAUCUAGCCAUGGGCAGGUUGAAGGUUGGGUAACACUAACUGGAGGACCGAACCGACUAAUGUUGAAAAAUUAGCGGAUGACCUGUGGCUGGGGGUGAAAGGCCAAUCAAACCGGGAGAUAGCUGGUUCUCCCCGAAAGCUAUUUAGGUAGCGCCUCGUGAACUCAUCUCCGGGGGUAGAGCACUGUUUCGGCUAGGGGGCCAUCCCGGCUUACCAACCCGAUGCAAACUGCGAAUACCGGAGAAUGUUAUCACGGGAGACACACGGCGGGUGCUAACGUCCGUCGUGAAGAGGGAAACAACCCAGACCGCCAGCUAAGGUCCCAAAGUCAUGGUUAAGUGGGAAACGAUGUGGGAAGGCCCAGACAGCCAGGAUGUUGGCUUAGAAGCAGCCAUCAUUUAAAGAAAGCGUAAUAGCUCACUGGUCGAGUCGGCCUGCGCGGAAGAUGUAACGGGGCUAAACCAUGCACCGAAGCUGCGGCAGCGACGCUUAUGCGUUGUUGGGUAGGGGAGCGUUCUGUAAGCCUGUGAAGGUGUGCUGUGAGGCAUGCUGGAGGUAUCAGAAGUGCGAAUGCUGACAUAAGUAACGAUAAAGCGGGUGAAAAGCCCGCUCGCCGGAAGACCAAGGGUUCCUGUCCAACGUUAAUCGGGGCAGGGUGAGUCGACCCCUAAGGCGAGGCCGAAAGGCGUAGUCGAUGGGAAACAGGUUAAUAUUCCUGUACUUGGUGUUACUGCGAAGGGGGGACGGAGAAGGCUAUGUCGGCCGGGCGACGGUUGUCCCGGUUUAAGCGUGUAGGCUGACUUUCCAGGCAAAUCCGGAAGGUUAAGGCUGAGGCGUGAUGACGAGGCACCACGGUGCUGAAGUGACAAAUGCCCUGCUUCCAGGAAAAGCCUCUAAGCAUCAGGUAACAUCAAAUCGUACCCCAAACCGACACAGGUGGUCAGGUAGAGAAUACCAAGGCGCUUGAGAGAACUCGGGUGAAGGAACUAGGCAAAAUGGUGCCGUAACUUCGGGAGAAGGCACGCUGACAUGUAGGUGAAGCCCCUGCGGGUGGAGCUGAAGUCAGUCGAAGAUACCAGCUGGCUGCAACUGUUUAUUAAAAACACAGCACUGUGCAAACACGAAAGUGGACGUAUACGGUGUGACGCCUGCCCGGUGCCGGAAGGUUAAUUGAUGGGGUUAUCGCAAGAGAAGCUCCUGAUCGAAGCCCCGGUAAACGGCGGCCGUAACUAUAACGGUCCUAAGGUAGCGAAAUUCCUUGUCGGGUAAGUUCCGACCUGCACGAAUGGCGUAAUGAUGGCCAGGCUGUCUCCACCCGAGACUCAGUGAAAUUGAACUCGCUGUGAAGAUGCAGUGUACCCGCGGCAAGACGGAAAGACCCCGUGAACCUUUACUACAGCUUGACACUGAACAUUGAGCCUUGAUGUGUAGGAUAGGUGGGAGGCUUUGAAGCGUGGACGCCAGUCUGCGUGGAGCCGACCUUGAAAUACCACCCUUUAAUGUUUGAUGUUCUAACCUGGCGCCGUAAUCCGGCGUGGGGACAGUGUCUGGUGGGUAGUUUGACUGGGGCGGUCUCCUCCCAAAGUGUAACGGAGGAGCACGAAGGUCAGCUAAUCCUGGUCGGACAUCAGGAGGUUAGUGCAAUGGCAUAAGCUGGCUUGACUGCGAGAGUGACGGCUCGAGCAGGUGCGAAAGCAGGUCAUAGUGAUCCGGUGGUUCUGUAUGGAAGGGCCAUCGCUCAACGGAUAAAAGGUACUCCGGGGAUAACAGGCUGAUACCGCCCAAGAGUUCAUAUCGACGGCGGUGUUUGGCACCUCGAUGUCGGCUCAUCACAUCCUGGGGCUGAAGUAGGUCCCAAGGGUAUGGCUGUUCGCCAUUUAAAGUGGUACGCGAGCUGGGUUUAGAACGUCGUGAGACAGUUCGGUCCCUAUCUGCCGUGGGCGCUGGAGAAUUGAGGGGGGCUGCUCCCAGUACGAGAGGACCGGAGUGGACGCAUCACUGGUGUUCGGGUUGUCAUGCCAAUGGCACUGCCCGGUAGCUAAAUGCGGAAGAGAUAAGUGCUGAAAGCAUCUAAGCACGAAACUUGCCCCGAGAUGAGUUCUCCCUGAGACUAUAAGUCUCCUGAAGGAACGUUGAAGACGACGACGUUGAUAGGCCGGGUGUGUAAGCGCAGCGAUGCGUUGAGCUAACCGGUACUAAUGAACCGUGAGGCUUAACCUU
Molecule: ribosomal RNA, 2903 nt
Filed under: Cronobacter sakazakii
Lineage: Bacteria; Pseudomonadati; Pseudomonadota; Gammaproteobacteria; Enterobacterales; Enterobacteriaceae
Description: 23S ribosomal RNA
Rfam family: Bacterial large subunit ribosomal RNA
Source: RNAcentral